Molecule: transfer RNA, 76 nt
Filed under: Fusobacterium sp. CM1
Lineage: Bacteria; Fusobacteriati; Fusobacteriota; Fusobacteriia; Fusobacteriales; Fusobacteriaceae
Description: tRNA-OTHER
Source: RNAcentral
GGUCGCAUAGCUCAGUUGGGAGAGCACCUGCCUUACAAGAUCUCCAUCACCAGUUCGAAUCUGGUCGUCGCCUCCA